GCUCGGUUAGCUCAGAUGGUAGAGCAUUGCACUUGUAAUGCAAAGGUCCGCGGUUCGAUUCCGUGAUCGUGCU
Molecule: transfer RNA, 73 nt
Filed under: bacterium
Lineage: Bacteria
Description: tRNA-Thr
Rfam family: tRNA
About the family: Transfer RNA (tRNA) molecules are approximately 80 nucleotides in length. Their secondary structure includes four short double-helical elements and three loops (D, anti-codon, and T loops).
Source: RNAcentral